Labrus mixtus (cuckoo wrasse) is the source of this 803-nucleotide long non-coding RNA. RefSeq lists it as uncharacterized. NCBI's taxonomy places the organism in Eukaryota, Metazoa, Chordata, Actinopteri, Labriformes, Labridae. The transcript is spliced from 3 exons. The record is from RefSeq and is a predicted model, not a curated record.
UAAAAUUACCAGGACUUGUACUGGAUUCCCCCACACCCACCUCCUCUUCAACUGAUGACCAGCUCAGCCACCAGCUGCAUCAAUUAGCAAAGAUCUUGUGCUGUGAAAUUCCACCUGGAGCUCAGUUCAGACUCACUGGCCUAUGAAGACAAUGGAGAAGGCUUUUUUUGGUAAAGAUAUGAAAAGCUUUGAGUGUUCAUCUCCAUCGGAGCUUGACAGGAGGUUUUUGGAGGAACAGAGUUGGGUGUCUGCUUUGUCGCUGGAACAAUUGUCUAUGUCAAGAGUAUCGAAUGAGACGAUGGCUGAUGGCUUUGACCCCCGGCUGUCUAUCUUGGCUUCUGUCUGCCUGUUGACGGAGCCCAUUUCUCCAUCCCAGGCCUUUUCAGUUAACAGCACUCAAGAAACUGACAACUGUCACCUGGGCAUACCUUUACAGGCAAAGUCCUCCACUCCCCACGUGCUCCUUCAAAAGACAAAAAAGGCCGCUUGUUCUGACCAGUCGUAUAGUGAAUUCACUUCCUCUCAAAUGUCAUGGGAUGUGUCUUUGAUUAAACCAGAGAAUAACAGCCCCAAGCCACCCAUGGAGUCCAGUGCUCUGGAGCAAACCAGGAGUCCAAAACUCCAGUCUACACAACAUUCACAAGCUGAAGUUUCUCCCUGACCUGGCAAAGAACAUCUCUCAGAUUUGUCUGCUUCUGCAUCAAGGACAAAUCCAAGAUCCAUGUGUAAGGUUUCAUGCAAGAUCUGUGUGUAAUUUUAAAACAUGUUUAAGCUUUAAAUAUAUAAAUAAAGUAUCUGACUAU